This 454-nucleotide ribosomal RNA is filed under the name uncultured soil bacterium. Its description in RNAcentral is "bacterial SSU rRNA". It matches the Rfam family "Bacterial small subunit ribosomal RNA", at positions 26 to 518 of the family's 1533-position model. The record is from RNAcentral.
AGAACGAACGCUGGCGGCAUGCCUAAUACAUGCAAGUCGAACGAAGGCUUCGGCCUUAGUGGCGCACGGGUGCGUAACGCGUGGGAAUCUGCCCCUUGGUUCGGAAUAACAGUUGGAAACGACUGCUAAUACCGGAUGAUGACGAAAGUCCAAAGAUUUAUCGCCAAGGGAUGAGCCCGCGUAGGAUUAGCUAGUUGGUGAGGUAAAGGCUCACCAAGGCGACGAUCCUUAGCUGGUCUGAGAGGAUGAUCAGCCACACUGGACUGAGACACGGCCCAGACUCUACGGAGCAGCAGUAGGGAAUAUUGGACAAUGGGCGAAAGCCUGAUCCAGCAAUGCCGCGUGAGUGAAUGAAGGCCGUUAAGGUUGUAAAGCUACUUUUAACCCGAGAUGAUAAUAGAACAGUAUCGGAAGAAAUAACGCCCCGGACUAACCUCCGUCGCCAGCAAGCCGC